UACGGGACAAAGCAGGGGACCUUCGGGCCUUGCGCCAUUAGAUGAGCCUAGGUCGGAUUAGCUAGUUGGUGAGGUAAUGGCUCACCAAGGCUACGAUCCGUAACUGGUCUGAGAGGAUGAUCAGUCACACUGGAACUGAGACACGGUCCAGACUCCUACGGGAGGCAGCAGUGGGGAAUAUUGGACAAUGGGCGAAAGCCUGAUCCAGCCAUGCCGCGUGUGUGAAGAAGGUCUUCGGAUUGUAAAGCACUUUAAGUUGGGAGGAAGGGUAGUAGCUUAAUACGAUGCUACUUUGACGUU
Molecule: ribosomal RNA, 300 nt
Filed under: Pseudomonas sp.
Lineage: Bacteria; Pseudomonadati; Pseudomonadota; Gammaproteobacteria; Pseudomonadales; Pseudomonadaceae
Rfam family: Bacterial small subunit ribosomal RNA
Source: RNAcentral